RNAcentral lists this ribosomal RNA (758 nucleotides) under uncultured bacterium. RNAcentral describes it as "bacterial SSU rRNA". It matches the Rfam family "Bacterial small subunit ribosomal RNA", at positions 8 to 749 of the family's 1533-position model. The record is from RNAcentral.
AGAGUUUGAUCCUGGCUCAGGACGAACGCUGGCGGCGUGCCUAAUACAUGCAAGUCGAGCGAAUCUUUAGGAGCUUGCUCCUAAAGAUUAGCGGCGGACGGGUGAGUAACACGUGGGCAACCUGCCUAUAAGACUGGGAUAACUUCGGGAAACCGGAGCUAAUACCGGAUAAUCCUUUUCCUCACAUGAGGAAAAGCUGAAAGACGGUUUCGGCUGUCACUUAUAGAUGGGCCCGCGGCGCAUUAGCUAGUUGGUGAGGUAAUGGCUCACCAAGGCGACGAUGCGUAGCCGACCUGAGAGGGUGAUCGGCCACACUGGGACUGAGACACGGCCCAGACUCCUACGGGAGGCAGCAGUAGGGAAUCUUCCGCAAUGGACGAAAGUCUGACGGAGCAACGCCGCGUGAACGAUGAAGGCCUUCGGGUCGUAAAGUUCUGUUGUUAGGGAAGAACAAGUAUCGGAGUAACUGCCGGUACCUUGACGGUACCUAACCAGAAAGCCACGGCUAACUACGUGCCAGCAGCCGCGGUAAUACGUAGGUGGCAAGCGUUGUCCGGAAUUAUUGGGCGUAAAGCGCGCGCAGGCGGUUCCUUAAGUCUGAUGUGAAAGCCCCCGGCUCAACCGGGGAGGGUCAUUGGAAACUGGGGAACUUGAGUACUGAAGAGGAAAGCGGAAUUCCACGUGUAGCGGUGAAAUGCGUAGAGAUGUGGAGGAACACCAGUGGCGAAGGCGGCUUUCUGGUCAGUAACUGACGCUGA